RNAcentral lists this transfer RNA (70 nucleotides) under Spermophilus xanthoprymnus (Asia Minor ground squirrel). RNAcentral describes it as "tRNA-Phe". It matches the Rfam family "tRNA". From Rfam's summary of the family: Transfer RNA (tRNA) molecules are approximately 80 nucleotides in length. Their secondary structure includes four short double-helical elements and three loops (D, anti-codon, and T loops). Further hydrogen bonds mediate the characteristic L-shaped molecular structure. tRNAs have two regions of fundamental functional importance: the anti-codon, which is responsible for specific mRNA codon recognition, and the 3' end, to which the tRNAs corresponding amino acid is attached (by aminoacyl-tRNA synthetases). tRNAs cope with the degeneracy of the genetic code in two manners: having more than one tRNA (with a specific anti-codon) for a particular amino acid; and 'wobble' base-pairing, i.e. permitting non-standard base-pairing at the 3rd anti-codon position. RNAcentral also lists the same sequence under 1 other name. Lineage: Eukaryota; Metazoa; Chordata; Mammalia; Rodentia; Sciuridae. The record is from RNAcentral.
GUUAAUGUAGCUUAACUCAACAAAGCAAAGCACUGAAAAUGCUUAGAUGGGUAUUCUUACCCCAUAAACA